UUAUAAACAUGUGUGUACAAAUGUGCCUCUUGGAUGAAGUAACAUGUACUAAAACGACGGAGAAAAGAAUAUUUGCCGGUGCUAAAACGUUAAAAAUGCAUUCCUUGGAUUAUGGGGAAUAUGCAUUUCACCUGAUUCAGGAGAAGAAAUAAAACGUGUAUUAAGACAAAUUACACCUGACUAUGGACCCACAGGGUCCGAAAUGCAUCGUAUUGUUAAUAAACACGAAAAAUUUGUGACUGAA
This is a long non-coding RNA of Schistocerca serialis cubense, 244 nucleotides long. RefSeq lists it as uncharacterized. The transcript is spliced from 2 exons. The record is from RefSeq and is a predicted model, not a curated record. Lineage: Eukaryota; Metazoa; Arthropoda; Insecta; Orthoptera; Acrididae.